This 303-nucleotide long non-coding RNA is filed under the name Ananas comosus (pineapple). RNAcentral describes it as "long non-coding RNA (ACOM_LNC027873)". Lineage: Eukaryota; Viridiplantae; Streptophyta; Magnoliopsida; Poales; Bromeliaceae. The record is from RNAcentral.
AAGUCGGUUUAGCUAGGGUUAUAGAAAUGAAAGAACAAGUUGUAACAGUUUGUAAUAACUAGAUUGUAUUAUGGAAGUUAGAAUCAAGAUGUAAGGAAAAAUGUAAUGUGUAAAGUGCAUGUAAGUUGAAUGCUUGUAAUAGCUUAGUAUUUAUGUUUUCGAUACCUUCCUUAUACAAUCUGUGUUUGAAUACUGUUCCUUGUUGGAACCUCGUGUAUUGUAUGGAUUGUGACGUCUAGGACGUACAGGGGAGACUCUUUCUGUUUGGCGGUCUGUUGGCGUGCCCGAAUCCGACCAUAGUGG